This 200-nucleotide ribosomal RNA is filed under the name uncultured bacterium. RNAcentral describes it as "partial 16S ribosomal RNA". It matches the Rfam family "Bacterial small subunit ribosomal RNA", at positions 8 to 212 of the family's 1533-position model. The record is from RNAcentral.
AGAGUUUGAUCAUGGCUCAGAUUGAACGCUGGCGGCAUGCCUAACACAUGCAAGUCGAACGGCAGCACAGUAUGUAGCAAUACAUACGGGUGGCGAGUGGCGGACGGGUGCGUAAUGUGCAGGGAUCUGCCCUGAAGUGGGGGACAACCCGGGGAAACUCGGGCUAAUACCGCAUAAUACUCUCUGGAGGAAAUCUGGCU